This is an RNA transcript of Panicum virgatum (switchgrass), 1238 nucleotides long. RefSeq lists it as uncharacterized. NCBI's taxonomy places the organism in Eukaryota, Viridiplantae, Streptophyta, Magnoliopsida, Poales, Poaceae. The transcript has 5 exons. The record is from RefSeq and is a predicted model, not a curated record.
GCCCUGCCGUGUUCGUGUUCCACCGUGCGUCUCUCUUCCUCCCUCCCCUUGCUCCGAUCGUCGCGUCUGCGGCGCCCGGCGACCAGCGGCGAUGCGGGUGGCAUCCAGGGCGCUCGUGCUCGUCCGCGACGCCGCAGGAUACGGCGCGGCGCUCGCCGACGCUCUCCGCCCGCCGCCAGGGCUCACGAGGGAGGCCGCGUCCGUCGAGCUCCCACUCGGAAAGUACGGCCUCGGCGGUGAGAAGGCGUCCGUCGAGCUCCUGAGCUUCUCCGAUUCCAGUGGCUCUCCGCAGGUGUCUAUUUUUGUUGUGCCAGAUUAUAAGCCCCCUCUUGCAGCGUGUGCUAUGAAUGAGGUCCUAGAACUGAUUUCUGCUGAAUCUACGUCCACUGAGCGAGUUCUAAUUGUCCCAUUCAUCACAAGAUCAUCAAGCUAUCAUCAUGGAAUGGAACAUGCAGCCAACGCAUCGCCUGUACUUCAUGGUGCUGAAAUAGGGGCAACAACUGACUUUACUCACUUGUUGGUUGACGGGACUACUAAACCUCCUACAUCCUUGCAAAUACGUAGUGAACCAAUAUUAUGUUUGCUAGAAAUGGUACGAGUGUUGAAGAUGCCUACAGUCCUUCUUGUCACUUCUGGUGGGCAGCAGCAAGGCAAAAGCUCUACAGUUUCUGAUCUUGAGAAGCUCUGCAGACUACGUAGGUACUGAAAAUUGCCAGAAUUAUUCUGAUCGAAUUGGAAACGAUACCUGACAGGGGUGACGCUGCGUUCAGUUUGCCUGGUGCCAGUGCCACCAGGAUAUUGCAGUGUGUAGGACAGCACUUGGCCAGGCACACCAACUUGGAGUUCAGCAAAGAAUCCGUUCUCGAGAGGGGGAUCGAAAAAUCACCAAUCAUUCAGGAACCCUGGCGCGAGCUGUAUGGGUGACGAAAUUCUCGUAUGCGGGCGCCCGUUGAUCUUGGUUUAGUUGGUUAUACAUGUUUGAGUUAGUGAAUUGUGCGGUGUUUUUGAGCUGGAAUCAGGAAUCAUGGCAGAUCUGGUCUCUGUCCACAUCUUGUAAUAUGAUGCUCAGGACAGCACUUGGCCAUCAGCUGUUGAACUUAGUAGACUUUGAUGUUUAUGCCUGCUUGGCAAAUCAAUUCAUCAGCAAGAAAUCUGAUGUAUAGAACUUGUAAACUCGUCGGCAGUUGGAACACGAAAUGAACAUCUUCUAGCGAACACUGUUCAGAGUUCAGGUUUUA